GACGAACGCUGGCGGCGUGCUUAACACAUGCAAGUCGAACGGAAAGGCCCUGCUUUUGUGGGGUGCUCGAGUGGCGAACGGGUGAGUAACACGUGAGUAACCUGCCCUUGACUUUGGGAUAACUUCAGGAAACUGGGGCUAAUACCGGAUAGGAGCUCCUGCUGCAUGGUGGGGGUUGGAAAGUUUCGGCGGUUGGGGAUGGACUCGCGGCUUAUCAGCUUGUUGGUGGGGUAGUGGCUUACCAAGGCUUUGACGGGUAGCCGGCCUGAGAGGGUGACCGGCAACAUUGGGACUGAGAUACGGCCCAGACUCCUACGGGAGGCAGCAGUGGGGAAUAUUGCAAAAGGGGCGGAAGCCUGAUGCAGAAACGCGGCGUGCGGGAUGACGGCCUUCGGGUGGUAAACCGCUUUCGCCGGUGACGAAGCGGGAGUGACGGUAAUGGGUAAAGAAGCACCGGCUAACUACGU
Molecule: ribosomal RNA, 467 nt
Filed under: uncultured bacterium
Lineage: Bacteria
Description: partial 16S ribosomal RNA
Rfam family: Bacterial small subunit ribosomal RNA
Source: RNAcentral